AAGAAUCGCCCCGUUUUUUGAAAUGGGUUCUAUUCCCAAACCGUGUAUAACAUACCUUUGUUGCUUUGGCAGGCCGCCUCCGGGCGUUGGCUCCGGCUAACUGCGCCUGCCAAAGGACCCAAACUCGUUGUUUAGUGAUGUCUGAGUACUAUAUAAUAGUUA
Molecule: unclassified non-coding RNA, 162 nt
Filed under: uncultured Meliniomyces
Lineage: Eukaryota; Fungi; Ascomycota; Leotiomycetes; Helotiales; Helotiaceae
Description: sequence contains ITS1
Source: RNAcentral